This 5278-nucleotide long non-coding RNA is filed under the name Homo sapiens (human). Its description in RNAcentral is "non-protein coding lnc-XKR5-1:4". The record is from RNAcentral. Lineage: Eukaryota; Metazoa; Chordata; Mammalia; Primates; Hominidae.
GGGCGCAGGCUGCGGGGUCGGCACGGAAGAUGCACGCGAGGCUCCUGGGGCUCUCGGCCCUGCUGCAGGCGGCCGAGCAGAGCGCGCGUGAGUGCGGCAGCCCGAGGCUGUGCUCACCCCUGCAGCCCCUAACCCCACCCCGGCGCCGGGAGCCGCACAGGCUGCCUAUGCCCGGGCGGGCACUGCCCCAGCCUGCGCCCAGCACUGCGCGCCGGUGACGCACGGUGGUGGCCAUCCCACCUGCAGAGCACGUCCUCCCGUCCUUAGUAGAUGCCCACGCAUGCACCAUCCCCCCAAGGAUGCAUGAUUUUCCUCCACCCAUGCUCGGUUCCCCCCCCUCCCGACUGGUGCUUGACUUCCUCCCGCCCAUGCACGAUCCCCCCGCCCCACGCAUGCAAGAUCCCCUCGCAGAAGCAGGGGAGAUGUAUCCGCCCUUCCUUCCAUCACAAGCUUUGCAAAGUGCUGCGAUGCCAAGAUGUGCUGAGCGCAAGUCUGGGGGCGCCCGGGCUCUCCCCCGACCCCCGGCCGUCCAGGGGGACCCUGCGACUUGGAGGCCGCUCGCAGAAGGGGUGGCGGGGGGAGGGGGACAGGGCUCCGCAUCCACGCGGCCCUGUAGGACGGCGACUCCGCUUCGGGGUUUAGGACGGGGCGGGACGCGGCCCUUCGAGGCCACCUCCGUCGCAGGGGGAACCCAGAGCCCGCCAGCCGCGGCGGAGCAAGAUGGCCCCAUUUUUCGCGCCCUUCUGGUUUGAACGCGUAACUCCUUCAGUGCCGGGAGGAGCGUCUCCGCCCACUUCCGCCGGGCUCCCUGCGGAAGCUUUUUCCCGGGCAGAGUCCCUGGGGUGGAAGAGGGGGUACCCUGGGAACGCCGCCUUGGGACUUUUCCCUGAGUUCGCGGGCGUCCCCGCAGGUCCCGCUGCUUCCGAGGCGCGCCGAGCAGGACGCACACGGAGGACGCGCAAGCGCCCUGGCUCCGCGCCCCGGACUGGAAGGGCUGAGACAGGACCUGCGGGGGUCGGCACCCACCCCAGGUGUCCUCCCUUGCCCUCCAGCUGGGCACGGACUGGGUGUCAGCAUUCCCCAGCCCUGCAGCACCGAAGGCUUUUCGUGCAAGGGAGGCUGCCGCAGGACGCUCGGGGUGGUGACAGCCGGACCCAGCCUGGGCGCUAAGGGCUGCCUGAGCCCGGACCCCGCGGUCUAGAGCUGCAGCGUCUGCAGCUGUACCUCAGGGCAGUUUUCCCAGUUUCCCUAAAAUCCGCGGCUUGUGUUCAUUCAUCCACUUAGAACUUUACUAUUGGAAAACCUAAGUAACAGUUGUGUGAAACGAUGCCUGUGUGCGGUGCCUCUACCAGCGCACCGCCUCCAAGAUCAGCCUCAGACAACCCUGAGGAGGCCGUGCUAGGAGUAUUGGGGAGGCCCAGAGUUCCAGGCCAGGGAGUUCCCCAUGUGAAAGUAGGAGAAAAGGGACCCCACAGAGAGAGCUGUGACCCCACAGGGACUAACGGUUUCGUAGUGCGGAGUUACUGACUGCGGAGUGCACAUUCUCUCUCCACUGCGUAACCACCAUCAAAAACAAACAAGCAAACAAACCAGAGAGGAGGUUUCAUCGUUCUCGAGGAUGCACAAGAUGCUAGGCGCUUCACACAUGUCGUAUAUUGCCCAACAGCUCUGGAAAGCCCUGACAAUGUCAUUUAGUGAAUGCCUGUCCCUGUUGCCAGAGGCUCUGCUGGCUCCCAGCCUGCUCCUAGGAGACUCUUGCUGGUGAUGGGGACACUGUGUUGGUUGGUUACUGUUUUGUUUUGUUUUGAGACAAGAGUCUUGCUCUGUGGCCCAGGCUGGAAUGCAGUGGCCCAAUCUCGACUCACUGCAAACUCCGCCUCCUGAGUUGAAGCCAUUCUGGUGCCUCAUCCAUCCCGAGUAGCUGGUAUUACAGGCACGCAGCCAGCAAACUUGCUCAUUUUUGUAUUUUUAGUAGAGAGGCCCAGACUGGUCUUGAACUCCUGACGUCGAGCAAUCUGCCCACCUCGGCCUCCCAAAGUGCUUUGGUUUUGUUUUUAAUGAGAUAAUUAGGUGUGGCCACAAGAUGAGACACAGGAGAGACUCUGGAAAGCAAAGUUUGCUGUACUCACAGGUCCUAGGACAGGAGACAUGGCACACCAUGCCGGGCCACAGGGGAAUGUCACCAGGGUGGUCAGGAGGCAGGAGACAGGAACCAGGGGAAGUUGAGGCCAGACGCUUUGCUAGGGCAGAGCACCAGCUUCAGAUUAGCCCUUUGAAUAAUUUCUGUGGCUUUGGGGUAUAAGGGUGGUCCCUAGUUUCCUGGCACUGGGCCCUGGGAUGAUUAAGGCAAAAGAAGAUUGCCUUCUGCGGGGGUAUGGGCCAGGUAGGGGAGGUCUGGCUCUGGCUAGAUUUAGUUCGCAUGUCAAAGGCAAGCUCCUGGCUGGGCCCUUUGCUAGCUGAAAUAAUUGCUAGCCUUGGGAGGGACAGUCACUCCCCAGCCAGAAAGAUUUUAAGAGGUCAGAACAUCAUAACAUCCAGAAAAUGUUCAGUUGUUUAAAAUGCAGGUACCCAGUCUCACUCCAGCCUUCCAACAACCUGCUUGCCUUUCCCCUUCUCACCCAGGCCUUUACACCGUGGCUUACUACUUCACCACAGGACGGCUUCUGUGGGGGUGGCUGGCCCUUGCUGUCCUCCUGCCCGGGUUCUUGGUCCAGGCCCUGAGCUACCUGUGGUUCCGAGCAGACGGGCAUCCAGGGCAUUGCUCCUUGAUGAUGCUGCACCUCCUACAGCUUGGUGUUUGGAAGAGGCACUGGGACGCUGCACUGACCAGUCUGCAGAAGGAACUGGAGGCUCCCCACCGAGGCUGGCUGCAGCUGCAGGAGGCCGACCUGUCGGCCCUUCGACUCUUGGAGGCCCUGCUGCAGACUGGGCCCCACCUGCUGCUUCAGACAUAUGUUUUUCUAGCCUCAGACUUCACAGAUAUUGUGCCAGGGGUGAGCACCCUGUUUUCCUGGUCCUCACUCUCCUGGGCACUGGUGUCCUACACUCGCUUCAUGGGCUUCAUGAAGCCAGGCCACCUGGCCAUGCCAUGGGCCGCCCUCUUCUGCCAGCAGCUCUGGAGGAUGGGCAUGUUGGGAACCCGCGUGCUGAGUCUGGUUCUGUUCUACAAAGCCUACCACUUUUGGGUUUUUGUGGUUGCAGGUGCCCACUGGCUGGUGAUGACAUUCUGGCUUGUCGCCCAGCAGAGUGACAUCAUCGACAGCACCUGCCACUGGAGGCUGUUCAACCUGCUCGUGGGGGCCGUGUACAUCCUCUGCUACCUCAGCUUCUGGGACAGCCCUUCUAGAAAUAGGAUGGUCACGUUCUACAUGGCAAGUGGCACUUUUCUUUAUCCUAACUUUUACAGUGUAUACAGCAAGUGGGGUGUGUGUGGGUGUGUGUGGGGGGUGUGUGUGUGUGUGCACCAAUGCACACCUAUCUAUUGAAAAGGAAUAGCUUAGUUUAAGAAAAAUUCUUAAAGAAAUGAUAGUCUUGAACAGAGAUGACAGGCUUUGAAAAUAGUAACCCAACCUCCAGCUGUGGCCCUGCAUUCAAUGUGGCAACAACUGAGGCAUAUUUGGUGAUGUCUUCUCUACAUCAGCCCACCUGCUGAAUAUCAUUACAGUUCAACUGUAUAAUAUCAUAUACUCAAUGUCUCUGUUAAUCAACUCCAUUUUUAUUAGGGGUUUAUGAAUAAGAUCCAGGCAUGGCCCUAGAGAGUAUCAGAAACACAAAAGUGGCCUAAUACUUCUUCAGAUUGCUUUGAGUCCCGUAGAGAUUUCUUCAUAUUUGAAGAACUUAUAAUAUUUGGUAAGUAAGUAGACACCCAAAUAACCAAAAUCAGACAGAACGUAGCUAGAUGCCAGGAGAGAAAAAAAUGUCUGGGACUCAUAGGAGUAGCUGCCAGCAUCACCUCUCGUCAGGAUGACCACAGACACUUUUGGCAGGACAGUGGAGGUUGAGCUGGAUUAUAAUGGGCAAAGGAGAGAAAAUACAAUCACAUUGGUGGGGCAUGGGUUUUAGAGUCAGAAAAAACUUGCACUGGAGCCCAGCUCUGCUGACUGCUACCACCAGCUGGCUUCAGCCAAGAAUUUAAACUGUCUGAACCUACUUUUUCAUGCACACGCUAGGAAUAAGUCACCCCCCUCUCAGUGUUCCUGUGAAGAUUAAAUAAGAUCUACAUACUCUUCAGGGUUCCUGUAAAGACCAAAUAAAAUAAUAUACAUAAGUAGCUGGCACAAAAUAACCCAUAAAUUGUGGCCAUUAUUCAUAUGAAAAGGAGAGACUUCUGUGGGAGGAGUCAGGCAUUCCAGGGUAGAGACCUGGGUGAAGGUAAAGGCAGGAUGCAGCUCCUGUCCAGGAAAGGGAAGCGUCCUAGACACCUGCUGAUUUUAGGACCCAUAUAGCACAGUGACCCCACAGGCUAUAGAGCCAGGCAGAGCUCACAGGACUUGCAAUGUUGGACACAUUACUGAGCCUCACCAACCUCAGCGUCCACAUCUGAACACCGAGCAUAACAGCGUGCGUGUUGUAGAUAGGUUCACUUGUGGCAGGGCCCAGGUCAUGCAUGAGCAGCCUCCCAACCAACAUGAUCCCCAAGUGAACAAAGAAGUGGAAUAUUGAUUUUCUCAUCCAAUUUGCUGAAGUGGCUUAUUCAUAGGUGGACACCCCGCCUGCCAAUGCCCAGAUAAGCAGGAGCUCAAUAAGGAGGAGUUUGACACCUGCCACCUUGUUUGCUUGCAUUUGUCACACUCACAUGUCAGUUGCCGUGUCAUCUCCCAGGAGUUUGAGGGCUGUUAGAGAAGGAAAGAAAGCAAAUCCUUCAUUCUUCCCAACCAUCUCAUACAGUCACUAGAUCACUGAGUCAAGAGCGAUUAAAUAGGAAAAGCAGAAAUCAGACACCAUUACAUUUGGAGUGAGAUCUACCACAGUGGCACGAGUGUCCUUAUCUCUCUCGCUGUGCACAGACCCAUCCAGGCCGGGCAGUCCUAGCCCGGGGGCUUGGAUCCCUACAGCAUGUGAUGGGGAACAUGGGCUUUAGGCCUUGCUGCCCGACCAGCUAAGGCUUGAUACCAGGAUCCUUCGGUUCUGAACUGUAUGAGAGUCACCGGGGCUCCCCCUGCCCCCACACCCAGUUUUUGCAUCUCUGAAAUGGUUGUUGCUAGGAUUGAUAAGGUGAUGGAUAGAAAGCCAAGAGCCUGGUGCCUGGCACAGGUAGAUAGAUGUAGAUGCUCUGAAA